AGUACACCGGAAGGUGUGCUUGGCAA
Molecule: ribosomal RNA, 26 nt
Filed under: Ischnocnema juipoca (Souzas robber frog)
Lineage: Eukaryota; Metazoa; Chordata; Amphibia; Anura; Brachycephalidae
Description: partial 12S ribosomal RNA
Source: RNAcentral